UCAUUUCGAUAUCAUGCAAUAUCCGAAUAUACUUUUUUUUUCUUCGUAGAAAUUCUUUCUUUUCAGUUGAAUCACACGACAGUGUAUAUUUUCAUCGUUACAAAUGUUGUGAUAAGUGGUAAUAUUAUAAGUGUGUCUAAUUUGUCUUAAAAAAGAAGAAAUUUAUGUCAAGCGAAGUUGAAUGAAAGAUUUGGUUUAUACUAACAGCCAUCCCUGCCAUCCACUGUUGCACACGCAUGUGUAAUUAGCGAUGCCGUCUAUACACUUGGCUCCAUUCUCGCAUUUAUUGUUGAUACAUUCGUCAAUAUUGAAGGAACAAUCGUCUUCCGUGUAACCCGCAGGACACUCGCAAACGUAACUGUUCGCUUUAUCAAGGCAGUAUCCAGAGUUUUUGCAAUCUUCGUCGAAGCAAAGUUGGCAACCGAUGCUUUCAUGAUGCGUCGAAUUAUUUUCUUUUAGUAUUAAAUAUUCCAAGGGUGUAAAGUUCGCGUUCUGAUAAACUUCUGCGUAUGUAAAAUAAUGUAGCAGCAUGCUGCCUAUUCGUACUUCGCCCAAACAUCCUUUGAAGGCCUCUCCUGCAAAACGGAAAGAGUUUUGUUACAGGAAAGGUUGCACAAUUCAUUCGAAUCAAUAAAAAUAUAAGAAGGAUAUUUCAACGCUUCGUUAAAGACAUAUAUAUAUAUUGCUUUGUAACAGCUUUAGUGGAUCACCUUGUCUAAGUAUAAGGAUCAUCGGAGUCUCUAACCGAUAACAAAGCAAGCGAAAGUUGAAUUGAAUCGCAGCCUUACCAGACAUUACAUUAUGGGGCGGCGAAACGGUGGUUAACGAGCGUUCGUUGAAGUCUAUCGAAUUAUCUUGUAUGCCGCUCCUGUUUUCCAACAUUUGUUUACCGGAGCCGAUGGUCACAUAACUGUGUCGCGCGGACAAACUGGAACCCAAUCCGCCCAGGGUCACCGUCCCGGUCACCAGUAAAUCGUACCACAGAGCGAAAUUGAAAUUCGGGCUGACGUGCGACGCGCUCUCCUCGUUAGAAUUCGCGUAGCCGCACUCCAUCGAAUUGUUAUUCAAUCUCAGUACUAUGGACGUCCAAUUUCCGUCAGCCUCGGCCUUGCCGAAGCUCAGCGUCCCCUGAUUUUGCAUAUCGAGCCGCCAAGACACGGUGAUCUUGUCCUUGUAAACGGAUACCGUGAAAUGCUGAUCGCCGACGCGCGGCGCGACGUGCAUCAGAGUGCCACCGGUGUUCGACCGGUACGUAAUUUGGAUCGUAUCGAUCGUCGAAUCGGUCACGUUCUUCUCCUCCACUUGAUUGUACACGUAAGUGAAGGAGGUCGUUAUGCCGUCGAAAGUGGCGUUGGCGAUGCACUCGUAGCCGUCGUCGAGGUUGACGCACUUCGACCCGGCCGGGCAGUCCUGCAGUUGACAAAACUCCAUCUCCUGGCAGGUCUUGCCGGUGUAUCCUCGCGGGCAUUGACACCAGAAGUCGUUCCACGUGACGUGACAGGUACCGUUGUGGUUGCACGGAUUGCUCACGCAGACGUUGUCCGACACGACGCCCUUCAAGACCUUGUCGUUGUCGAAGGUCACGUUGCCGAAUUGAAUUAGAGUGGGUAUGUCGUUCGCCUAAAGAAUCACAGAAAAACCGUUUUAGUUGAAUAAGGCGUCUAAUAGGGAUCUUGGCAAGUUACGAUCCGAUGGAUCGGACGAACAAAGACGCAAUAUGUGGGGUCGUAUAGUAAGCAAGCCUGUCAAGGUCUAAAAGCGACUGAUUUUGUUGCUUUAUGGAAACAGUCUUUAGAAUAUCAACAAUUUUCAAAGAAAAAAUCUGAAACCUGUUAGAACUAAGAAUACUACUCUUGUAAAUGAUGAGUUCUGAAAUAUCAUUUAAUUUCUGCGCGUGGUUGUGGUGUUGUUUCGACCAAUCCUUUCAAUGUCAGGAAAGAAAUUAUAAAUUGUCUGUGAAGCAGAAAAUUUGUUUAAAAUAUUUGAGUAGAAAGCAAAUGUAAUUUCCAGAUGAACUUGUACACGUUUAUUAAAAUAAAUGUGUAAUAUUAAACUGAGAAAUAAAGAACAAAAAAUUAUUCUCCUGUA
Long non-coding RNA from Megalopta genalis, 2088 nucleotides. RefSeq lists it as uncharacterized. The record is from RefSeq and is a predicted model, not a curated record. Lineage: Eukaryota; Metazoa; Arthropoda; Insecta; Hymenoptera; Halictidae.